GCAUUAGGGUUUUGAAACCCUAAACUGCACUUUUUCCAUUUAGUCAAUAUUAGGGUUUUAAACUCUAAACUAAACUUUUCCCUUUAGUCAGCAUUAGGGUUUUGAAACCCUAAACUGCACUUUUUCCAUUUAGUCAGCAUUAGGGUUUUAAACCUUAAACUGAACUUUUCCCUUUAGUCAACAUUAGGGUUUUAAACCCUAAACUGAACUUUUUUCCUUUCAGUCAGCAUUAGGGUUUUAAACCCUAAACUGAACUUUUUCCAUUUAGUCAGCAUUAGGGUUUUAAACCUUAAACUAAACUCUUUCCUUUAGUCAGCAUUAGGGUUUUAAACCCUAAACUGAACUUUUUCUAUUUAGUCAGCAUUAGGGUUUUAAACCCUAAACUGAACUUUUUCCAUUUAGUCAGCAUUAGGGUUUUAAACCCUAAACUGAACUUUUUCCAUUCAGUCAGCAUUAGGGUUUUAAACCCUAAACUGAACUCUUUCCUUUAGUCAGCAUUAGGGUUUUAAACCCUAAACUGAACUUUUUCCAUUUAGUCAGCAUUAGGGUUUUAAACCCUAAACUGAACUUUUUCCAUUUAGUCAGCAUUAGGGUUUUUAAACCUUAAACUGAACUUUACCCUUUAGUCAACAUUAGGGUUUUAAACCCUAAACUGAACUUUUUCCAUUCAGCCAGCAUUAGGGUUUUAAACCCUAAACUGAGCUUUUACAUGCAGUCAGCAUUAGGGUUUUAAACCCUAAACUAAAUUUACCCUUUAGUCAGCAUUAGGGUUUUAAACCCUAAACUGAACUUUUUCCAUUCAGCCAGCAUUAGGGUUUUAAACCCUAAACUGAGCUUUUCCAUGCAGUCAGCAUUAGGGUUUUAAACCCUGAACUGAAUUUUCCCUUUAGUCAGCAUUAGGGUUUUAAACCCUAAACUGAACUUUUUCCAUUCAGCCAGCAUUAGGGUUUUAAACCUUAAACUGAGCUUUUCCAUGCAGUCAGCAUUAGGGUUUUAAACCCUAAACUGAACUUUUCCUUUUAGUCAGCAUUAUGGUUUUAAACCCUAAACUGAACUUUUUCCAUUCAGCCGCAUUAGGGUUUUAAACCCUAAACUGAACUUUUUCCAUGCAGUCAGCAUUAGGGUUUUAAACCCUAAACUGAACUUUUUCAUGCAGUCAGCAUUAGGGUUUUAAAACCCUAAAUUGAAUUUUUCCUUUAAUCAGCAUUAGGGUUUUAAACCCUAAACUGAACUUUUUCCAUUCAGUCAGCAUUAAGGUUUUAAACCCUAAACUUAACUUUUCCAUUCAGUCAGCAUUAGGGUUUUAAACCCUAAACUGAAUUUUCCUUUAGUCAGCAUUAGGUUUUAAACCCUAAACUGAACUUUUUCCAUUCAGCCAGCAUUAGGGUUUUAAACCCUAAACCGAGCUUUUCCAUGCAGUCAUCAUUAGGGUUUUAAACCCUAAACUGAAAUUUUUCCUUUAGUCAGCAUUAGGGUUUUAAACCCUAAACUAAACUUUUUCCAUUCAGUCAGCAUUAGGGUUUUAAACCCUAAACUGAACUUUUCCUUUCAGUCAGCAUUAGGGUUUAAAACACUAAACUGAAUUUUUCCUUUAGUCAGCAUUAGGGUUUUAAACCCUAAACUGAACUUUUUCCAUUCAGCCAGCAUUAGGGUUUUAUACCAUAAACUGAGCUUUUCCAUGCAGUCAGCAUUAGGGUUUUAAACCCUAAGCUGAACUUUUCCUUGCAAUCAGCAUUAGGGU
Molecule: long non-coding RNA, 1741 nt
Filed under: Nicotiana tabacum (common tobacco)
Lineage: Eukaryota; Viridiplantae; Streptophyta; Magnoliopsida; Solanales; Solanaceae
Description: long non-coding RNA (NTAB_LNC001872)
Source: RNAcentral